Cervus hanglu yarkandensis (Yarkand deer) is the source of this 147-nucleotide small nucleolar RNA. Lineage: Eukaryota; Metazoa; Chordata; Mammalia; Artiodactyla; Cervidae. The record is from Ensembl.
UGAUGGCUGUUCCUCUUGCGGCUGGAGCUUUGGGUAGUGGGAUUUUAGUCCAUCAUAUGUCUAGGCUGGCUUGUCUUCUCUCAGGACACUCCAGGGAUGGCUUGGGUGUUCGUUAGUAUGUUCUGAUUUUUGCAGAAUCACACAAUU